This is a non-coding RNA of Anas platyrhynchos (mallard), 1588 nucleotides long. The record is from RefSeq and is a predicted model, not a curated record. Lineage: Eukaryota; Metazoa; Chordata; Aves; Anseriformes; Anatidae.
CCCCCGUCCCAGAGAGGGAGGGGGGAGGGUGAGCGAACGGCUGCGUGGUGUUUAGCUGCCGGCCGGGUUAAACCACGACAACUGUACAUUCUCCAGACUUGUCUUUCUUCAGCAGCAAAUUGUGUUAUGAUUCAUGGCUUUUAGAAGAGUGAUGGUUUAUUCAACCUAGCCGUGAACGCAGCUAAAGCUGGGUGGGAUACCUGACAGCUGUGGCUUGCUUUGGAAACUCUCCCUGGUGCUGCAGUACUGCGUCAGAACCGCACGGCCCGAGUUAGACUGAUCAGAAAAUCUGAGAUCAGGAAGACAUCAGCCCCAGCCUUAGUGAGAGGGAUUGCUAAAAUUAUUUCUGCCCUCUUUGUGGCAUGGAAGUAGAUUGUUACUUGGGAUUAUUCAGGCAUUUAGUCUAACAAGUUUCUUACUACCAUAAGGGACGUAAGGGAAUGAGUACCUAGACAGUGUCCUGGAUCUCCUGUGCUUGCUUCUUGUGGAUGCUCCAGAAUUUGUUGGUCUUGGUACUGCAGCCUUGUGGUGUGAGAUGCUAUCCUGUGGUUUCAGUGUGACGGGAUGCUUUUGAACCAAAUAUCAUGUGGUGGUGCACAAUUGGUCUUGCUCACCCUGGCAUCCCCUUCCAUUUUCAUCCCAUGUUUAGACCUCGUUACAGUACUUGUGUUCUAGCCUGUGCCUUAAAACCUGAUCUCUUUUGUGGUAGGUCUGUUGCAGGGAACAGUCAUUCCUGGAAAUGGGCUUGCAGGCUGCAUGGAGUGCUUGCAAGGAGACACUGCACUGCAGAACUUUUAAUUGUCUCUUUGCUUGUGAUUCAUAGUGCUGGCGUACUCGGGGACUCCUAUACCAGACACAAUAGAGCCAGCUGUUGCAAUUGCAGAAAUGUAUUGUUCUGGUAUUUUAACUCUCCAGAAACAUGCGCUGAGGACAUGAGCCUGUUGAGAUCGGUUGCAAGGAGGCAUCCCUCCUAGUUGUGACCACCCUGGUCUGUCCCUAGAGGUGGAUUCCUUUCUUUCAAAAUCUUCAGGAAAGAUUCCUCUGUCAACUUCAUCUCAUGGUUGUCUGGCAAAUCCAAAUAAAUGUAAUUAAAUAUUAAGGAAUUGGGCAAGCAGUGAUGGAGUAAAUACCACAGACCCUGUACAGAUCUCAGGUGUUUGCUGCCUUGAAUGCAAGUGACUGUUGAGAGGUCUCUGAACAGAAACCUGAAUUUUGCUACCACUGUGAGCAAGAUCAAGAUCUUUGGGGCUCAGGCACAAAGAAGGAUGCUGUCCCUCUCCCUGUCCCUCCACGGCGCUGUAAGAAAAGCAAUACAGUCAUCUGUGGGUUCAGGAGGAAAAAGAAGCAGUACAAAAUUUAUGUGUCAUUUGCCAUUUGGAUGAGGCUUAUAUCUCACCUGCUAAAGUCAAAGGCACACCCCAGUAACUGCACAGAGCACAGAAAUGAAACAGCAGUUUUAGUGUAAGAGAGACUUAAAAACAUGGUGUCUGGAAGAAACAUAUACCACUGAAAUACUUCUCUUCUAUUCCUUGUUUCACAAAAAGAAAAAGAAAAAAAAAAAAAAAAGGAAAAAAAAAAAGUGAGAUAA